RNAcentral lists this ribosomal RNA (253 nucleotides) under uncultured bacterium. RNAcentral describes it as "partial 16S ribosomal RNA". It matches the Rfam family "Bacterial small subunit ribosomal RNA", at positions 524 to 776 of the family's 1533-position model. The record is from RNAcentral.
UACGUAGGUGGCAAGCGUUGUCCGGAUUUAUUGGGUUUAAAGGGUGCGUAGGCGGUUUUUUAAGUCAGUGGUGAAAUACAGCCGCUCAACGGUUGAGGUGCCAUUGAUACUGGGGAACUUGAGUACAGACGAGGUAGGCGGAAUUGACGGUGUAGCGGUGAAAUGCAUAGAUAUCGUCAAGAACACCGAUAGCGAAGGCAGCUUACUAGACUGUAACUGACGCUGAUGCACGAAAGUGUGGGGAUCAAACAGG